This 250-nucleotide ribosomal RNA is filed under the name uncultured bacterium. Its description in RNAcentral is "partial 16S ribosomal RNA". It matches the Rfam family "Bacterial small subunit ribosomal RNA", at positions 524 to 773 of the family's 1533-position model. The record is from RNAcentral.
AACGUAGGAGGCGAGCGUUAUCCGGAUUUACUGGGUGUAAAGCGCGUGCAGGCGGUUUGGUAAGUUGGGUGUGAAAGCUCCUGGCUCAACUGGGAGAGGUCGCUCAAGACUGCCAGACUUGAGAGUGGUAGGGGAAGGUGGAAUUCCGGGUGUAGUGGUGAAAUGCGUAGAUAUCCGGAGGAACACCAGUGGCGAAGGCGGCCUUCUGGACCACAUCUGACGCUCAGACGCGAAAGCUAGGGUAGCAAAC